AUUUAAAUAGUUUAAUUAUUAAAACAUUGAUUUGUGGUGUCAAAGAUAUAAUUUAAAAUUAUUUUAGAUA
RNAcentral lists this transfer RNA (70 nucleotides) under Moricella rufonota. Its description in RNAcentral is "tRNA-His". It matches the Rfam family "tRNA". Rfam says of the family: Transfer RNA (tRNA) molecules are approximately 80 nucleotides in length. Their secondary structure includes four short double-helical elements and three loops (D, anti-codon, and T loops). Lineage: Eukaryota; Metazoa; Arthropoda; Insecta; Hymenoptera; Tenthredinidae. The record is from RNAcentral.